This 59-nucleotide microRNA precursor is filed under the name Blattella germanica (German cockroach). RNAcentral's name for it is "Bge-Mir-1175_pre stem-loop". It matches the Rfam family "mir-1175 microRNA precursor family", at positions 7 to 67 of the family's 72-position model. Lineage: Eukaryota; Metazoa; Arthropoda; Insecta; Blattodea; Blattellidae. The record is from RNAcentral.
AAGUGGAGAAGUGGUCUCUUCACUUUGAUUUUAAGUGAGAUUCAACUCCUCCAACUUAU